CGCACCUUGCGCUCCUUGGUAUUCCGAGGAGCAUGCCUGUUUGAGUGUCAUGGAAUUCUCAACCUCUACUGCUUUUGUGGCAGAGGCUUGGACUUGGAGGUCGUGUCGGCUUGCGAAAGUCGACUCCUCUGAAAUGCAUUAGUGCGAGCCUUACAGAUCGCUUCGGUGUGAUAAUUGUCUACGCCGUGGUGUGAAGUAUACUUGUGUUCGCGCUUCUAACUGUCCACAAGGACACUUUACAAUCUGACCUCAAAUCAGGUAGGACUACCCGCUGAACUUAA
This 281-nucleotide unclassified non-coding RNA is filed under the name Phlebia sp. RNAcentral's name for it is "partial contains 5.8S ribosomal RNA, internal transcribed spacer 2, and large subunit ribosomal RNA". Lineage: Eukaryota; Fungi; Basidiomycota; Agaricomycetes; Polyporales; Meruliaceae. The record is from RNAcentral.